This 250-nucleotide ribosomal RNA is filed under the name uncultured bacterium. RNAcentral's name for it is "partial 16S ribosomal RNA". It matches the Rfam family "Bacterial small subunit ribosomal RNA", at positions 121 to 353 of the family's 1533-position model. The record is from RNAcentral.
UCAACCUGCCCUUCAGAGGGGGACAACAGUUGGAAACGACUGCUAAUACCGCAUACGAUCUGACCUCGGCAUCGAGGAUAGAUGAAAGGUGGCCUCUAUUUAUAAGCUAUCACUGAAGGAGGGGAUUGCGUCUGAUUAGCUAGUUGGAGGGGUAACGGCCCACCAAGGCGAUGAUCAGUAGCCGGUCCGAGAGGAUGAACGGCCACAUUGGGACUGAGACACGGCCCAGACUCCUACGGGAGGCAGCAUG